RNAcentral lists this long non-coding RNA (308 nucleotides) under Elaeis guineensis (African oil palm). RNAcentral describes it as "long non-coding RNA (EGUI_LNC050080)". Lineage: Eukaryota; Viridiplantae; Streptophyta; Magnoliopsida; Arecales; Arecaceae. The record is from RNAcentral.
GAAGUUCAGAGAAUAGUUGAUCACUGUAGAAGGUCGGCUGAUAGUGAGGCCUAGAGAGCCUUUGGAGCGGCCCGAUAGAUGGAUGGAGAAGCUCAUUGUCAAAAAAGUCUGGAAGCUCGGAUGAUCGAGGGGGUUCAGAGAGAUGCUACAUAAGGUCGGAAGUCGGAAAAGCCCUGGAAGGGUCGGUCUUUUACAAACUUCGGUCGGGGGGUAUUUUAUACCCAACACUCUACAUGAUCAAUUAAUUUUUUGAUUUUAACCUUAGGUCUAACCCAAUUAAAAAGAUCUGAUUUGAGCUAACCCAUGCC